This 478-nucleotide ribosomal RNA is filed under the name uncultured bacterium. Its description in RNAcentral is "bacterial SSU rRNA". It matches the Rfam family "Bacterial small subunit ribosomal RNA", at positions 28 to 507 of the family's 1533-position model. The record is from RNAcentral.
GAUGAACGCUGGCGGCGUGCCUAACACAUGCAAGUCGAGCGUGAACCCUGCGAAUGAAACUUCGGUCGAUUUUGCAGGGGGAAAGCGGCGGACGGGUGAGUAACGCGUAGGUAACCUGCCCCAUACUGAGGGAUAGCCUCGGGAAACCGGGAUUAAUACCUCAUAACACCGUAUAUUCGCAUGGAUGUGCGGUCAAAGAUUUAUCGGUAUGGGAUGGGCCUGCGUCUGAUUAGCUGGUUGGUGGGGUAACGGGCCUACCAAGGCGACGAUCAGUAGCCGACCUGAGAGGGUGAUCGGCCACAUUGGAACUGAGACACGGUCCAAACUCCUACGGGAGGCAGCAGUGGGGAAUAUUGCACAAUGGGCGAAAGCCUGAUGCAGCAACGCCGCGUGAGCGAAGAAGGCCUUGGGUCGUAAAGCUCUGUCGGGUAGGAAGAUAAUGACGGUACUACCCGAGGAAGCCCCGGCUAACUACGUG